CUACGGGAGGCAGCAGUGGGGAAUUUUGCGCAAUGGGGGAAACCCUGACGCAGCAACGCCGCGUGAGUGAUGAAGGCCUUCGGGUCGUAAAGCUCUGUCAGUGGGGAAGAAAAGAGACAGGUUAAUACCCUGUCUCCCUGACGGUACCCACAAAGGAAGCACCGGCUAACUCCGUGCCAGCAGCCGCGGUAAUACGGAGGGUGCAAGCGUUGUUCGGAUUUAUUGGGCGUAAAGCGCGUGUAGGCGGUCUCUUAAGUCUGAUGUGAAAGCCCCGGGCUCAACCCGGGAAGUGCAUUGGAUACUGGGAGACUUGAAUACGGGAGAGGGUAGUGGAAUUCCUAGUGUAGGAGUGAAAUCCGUAGAUAUUAGGAGGAACACCGGUGGCGAAGGCGGCUACCUGGACCGAUAUUGACGCUGAGACGCGAAAGCGUGGGGAGCAAACAGGAUUAGAUACCCCGGU
RNAcentral lists this ribosomal RNA (460 nucleotides) under uncultured bacterium. Its description in RNAcentral is "bacterial SSU rRNA". It matches the Rfam family "Bacterial small subunit ribosomal RNA", at positions 339 to 791 of the family's 1533-position model. The record is from RNAcentral.